This 253-nucleotide ribosomal RNA is filed under the name uncultured bacterium. RNAcentral's name for it is "partial 16S ribosomal RNA". It matches the Rfam family "Bacterial small subunit ribosomal RNA", at positions 524 to 776 of the family's 1533-position model. The record is from RNAcentral.
UACGUAGGGAGCAAGCGUUGUCCGGAAUCAUUGGGCGUAAAGCGCGCGUAGGCGGCCCUGUAAGUCCGUUGUGAAAGUCAAAGGCUCAACCUUUGAAAGCCGAUGGAUACUGCAGGGCUAGAGUCCGGAAGAGGCGAGUGGAAUUCCUGGUGUAGCGGUGGAAUGCGCAGAUAUCAGGAGGAACACCCAUAGCGAAGGCAGCUCGCUGGGACGGUACUGACGCUAAGGCGCGAAAGCGUGGGGAGCGAACAGG